RNAcentral lists this ribosomal RNA (253 nucleotides) under uncultured bacterium. RNAcentral describes it as "partial 16S ribosomal RNA". It matches the Rfam family "Bacterial small subunit ribosomal RNA", at positions 524 to 776 of the family's 1533-position model. The record is from RNAcentral.
UACAGGGGUCCCAAGCGUUGUUCGGAUUCACUGGGCGUAAAGGGUGCGUAGGUGGCGGGGUAAGUCGGAUGUGAAAUCUCGGAGCUCAACUCCGAAAUGGCAUUGGAAACUACCCUGCUAGAGGGUCGGAGGGGGGACUGGAAUACUUGGUGUAGCAGUGAAAUGCGUAGAUAUCAAGUGGAACACCAGUGGCGAAGGCGAGGCCCUGGACGACUCCUGACACUGAGGCACGAAAGCUAGGGGAGCAAACAGG